AGAACAUACAAAGUUACAAGAGCAACCCAUGCCAACAAUCCCAACAAACUAGAUUCCCAAAUUAAUAGAGGACUCACAAAGUCCAUCGACUCUCAUAAAUCAUCAAAUUAUUCAUACUCAACCCUAACACCUCCUCGCCCUGAGCUCACCUUACAGACCUUCAGUGAAUGCAACUCCGGUGGCCUUCAGCCAAGACCCGCCCUGAAUCAGCCCCGCCACCGUGAACGACUGCGCCACCUUCGGGUCGGUGAUCACCUUAUACCCUCGCCAAUUCACCCUCCUCGCCGUUCCUGCCCCCGGCCCCCG
This 306-nucleotide unclassified non-coding RNA is filed under the name Hevea brasiliensis (rubber tree). The record is from RNAcentral. Lineage: Eukaryota; Viridiplantae; Streptophyta; Magnoliopsida; Malpighiales; Euphorbiaceae.